RNAcentral lists this ribosomal RNA (72 nucleotides) under Photobacterium phosphoreum. RNAcentral's name for it is "partial 16S ribosomal RNA". It matches the Rfam family "Bacterial small subunit ribosomal RNA", at positions 1 to 70 of the family's 1533-position model. Lineage: Bacteria; Pseudomonadati; Pseudomonadota; Gammaproteobacteria; Vibrionales; Vibrionaceae. RNAcentral also lists the same sequence under 2 other names. The record is from RNAcentral.
UUUAAUUGAAGAGUUUGAUCAUGGCUCAGAUUGAACGCUGGCGGCAGGCCUAACACAUGCAAGUCGAGCGGU